Molecule: ribosomal RNA, 253 nt
Filed under: uncultured bacterium
Lineage: Bacteria
Description: partial 16S ribosomal RNA
Rfam family: Bacterial small subunit ribosomal RNA
Source: RNAcentral
UACGAAGGGGGCAGGCGUUGUUCGGAAUUACUGGGCGUAAAGGGUUCGUAGGUGGCUCGCUAAGUCAGACGUGAAAUCCCUCAGCUUAACUGGGGAACUGCGUCUGAGACUGGCAAGCUCGAGUGCAGGAGAGGAACGCGGAAUUCCAGGUGUAGCGGUGAAAUGCGUAGAUAUCUGGAGGAACACCGGUGGCGAAGGCGGCGUUCUGGACUGCAACUGACACUGAUGAACGAAAGCCAGGGGAGCAAACGGG